CGAUCAAACAUGCAUAACUAACACGGGAACGCGCAGUGUUUCGAUAUGAUAAAUUUUACUUUGAGGCAAUGUUAUCCAUAUGUAACUUUCUUCUACAAAAGGCCUUUUGGCUGUAGUUAUUCGACAGGAAACUAGGAACGAAUCGCCAAUAUUUAAACAAAUAAAAGUAAUUGCCAAGAAAACUGCAUGGGCUGAAAAAAAAAACUUCGGUCAUUCAUUCGUCGGGAUGAUUGGAAACUGUCAAAACGUUUUGAAACUGCGUCAUCCGGUACCUUCGGCGGGAUGCAAGUGAUCUCAUGCAGUGAAUCGGUUUUAUCACGAAAAUAACGCGAAGCAUUUAAUUUUAGUGUUGUGCAGUGAUUACGAUAUAUUGCGUCUGAGCAAGGAUGACAUAGGGAGGCUGAGAUGGACGGGACGGCGCUCCUCCAUCCUUCACGAAAGCGCCAAAGGAACAAGACCAACUGGUCCUUGUCUCCAACGACCCGACGAGGAUUUUUAUUAACCUGCCUACGACUCUCGAGGUAACUACAGCCUAUUGACAGUGGGGUGGAUUAUCAGCAGGUGUCAGGGCCAGUAACCGGCGACUCCCAUCUUGAGUAUUUGAGCCUCCUCGCGAUGGAAUUUCAUUGAGAAAGAUGACUUCCGUAGGAUGUACAGCCAGCCAAUGCAAUCUGCAUUCCGCCUGCCACAGUCGUGUGUAGCUUCUGCCGUUACUUGUUGCACCAAGGACUUUUUCUUCUUACUUCUGAGAUCCACUUGAAGGUCCAUCUCCCAAGCACUGUCUUCCCCAGUUGCAACAGCACGUGGUGUAAGCAGCAGUGUUGACUUCACAGUAAGAAAUCCCAAGAAAAGCCAGAAGCUCAGCUGUCAUGCAUAUGAGAGAUCGACUCUAGACAUGCGAGGGUUCCAAUCGGAUUUCUGUGAGAUUUGGGAAAUAUUGCCAUUAUCUUAGGUGCGCAUUUGGGAAUGACAAGAUUGCAAACAAAUCCAUUCUUCAAUGUCCGCGUAGGAGAUAAUCAUCAUUUUCAGGUAUCGCGGCAUUUUAUCACACCUCUUUAUCUCACUUCCUGUGAUAUGAAAAUCUUCGACGCUGACGUAAGGUUGGUUAUGACGCAAAUUCUACCUGACUCUCAUUCAUGUUGGAGUAGGAGGAUAAAGAUUAAGUUUUUUUUUCACACCUUCGUGAACUAUUUUUAUGGGUGUUCUAUAGUUUUUAAGGUUAAUUCAUCUUUUUUGUCACAUUGUCCUAAUGUUUUUGGUUAAUUUACCUUCUUCCGCCCAUUUAGCGUGGAUUAAGAGGCAAAGAAUGAGUAUUAUUUUCAAGGAUCGUCCACUAUUUUUUUUUGCCAUUCAUUUAUGUAAUAGUAUAAGUAAAAUAAAUAUUAAACGAAAUGUACCCAAACUCUUAUUAACAACUUGAAAAAGAAUUACAGGGUAAGGAACA
Molecule: long non-coding RNA, 1444 nt
Organism: Macrobrachium nipponense
Lineage: Eukaryota; Metazoa; Arthropoda; Malacostraca; Decapoda; Palaemonidae
Exons: 6
Source: RefSeq, a predicted model, not a curated record